This 410-nucleotide ribosomal RNA is filed under the name uncultured microorganism. Its description in RNAcentral is "bacterial SSU rRNA". It matches the Rfam family "Bacterial small subunit ribosomal RNA", at positions 509 to 917 of the family's 1533-position model. The record is from RNAcentral.
CAGCCGCCGCGGUAAUACGUAGGGUGCGAGCGUUAAUCGGAUUUACUGGGCGUAAAGCGUGCGCAGGCGGCCCGUUAAGACAGGUGUGAAAUCCCUGGGCUCAACCUAGGAAUUGCGCUUGUGACUGGCGGGCUCGAGUACGGUAGAGGGGGGUGGAAUUCCUGGUGUAGCAGUGAAAUGCGUAGAGAUCAGGAGGAACACCGAUGGCGAAGGCAGCCCACUGGGCCUGUACUGACGCUCAUGCACGAAAGCGUGGGGAGCAAACAGGAUUAGAUACCCUGGUAGUCCACGCCCUAAACGAUGGGUACUAGCCGUUUGGUGCGCGAGAGCGCUGAGUGGCGAAGCUAACGCGUGAAGUACCCCGCCUGGGGAGUACGGCCGCAAGGUUGAAACUUAAAGGAAUUGGCGGG